Molecule: ribosomal RNA, 772 nt
Filed under: uncultured bacterium
Lineage: Bacteria
Description: bacterial SSU rRNA
Rfam family: Bacterial small subunit ribosomal RNA
Source: RNAcentral
GGCAGCGCGGGGCAACCUGGCGGCGAGUGGCGAACGGGUGAGUAAUAUAUCGGAACGUACCCAAGAGUGGGGGAUAACGCAGCGAAAGUUGCGCUAAUACCGCAUACGAUCUAAGGAUGAAAGCAGGGGACCGCAAGGCCUUGUGCUCCUGGAGCGGCCGAUAUCUGAUUAGCUAGUUGGUGAGGUAAAGGCUCACCAAGGCGACGAUCAGUAGCUGGUCUGAGAGGACGACCAGCCACACUGGAACUGAGACACGGUCCAGACUCCUACGGGAGGCAGCAGUGGGGAAUUUUGGACAAUGGGCGCAAGCCUGAUCCAGCAAUGCCGCGUGAGUGAAGAAGGCCUUCGGGUUGUAAAGCUCUUUUGUCAGGGAAGAAACGGCUGUGGCUAAUAUCCACGGCUAAUGACGGUACCUGAAGAAUAAGCACCGGCUAACUACGUGCCAGCAGCCGCGGUAAUACGUAGGGUGCAAGCGUUAAUCGGAAUUACUGGGCGUAAAGCGUGCGCAGGCGGUUUUGUAAGUCUGACGUGAAAUCCCCGGGCUUAACCUGGGAAUUGCGUUGGAGACUGCAAGGCUAGGAUCUGGCAGAGGGGGGUAGAAUUCCACGUGUAGCAGUGAAAUGCGUAGAGAUGUGGAGGAACACCGAUGGCGAAGGCAGCCCCCUGGGUCAAGAUUGACGCUCAUGCACGAAAGCGUGUGGAGCAAACAGGAUUAGAUACCCUGGUAGUCCACGCCCUAAACGAUGUCUACUAGUUGUCGGGUCUUAAUUGA